RNAcentral lists this ribosomal RNA (286 nucleotides) under uncultured Microgenomates group bacterium. RNAcentral describes it as "partial 16S ribosomal RNA". It matches the Rfam family "Bacterial small subunit ribosomal RNA", at positions 372 to 674 of the family's 1533-position model. The record is from RNAcentral.
UGGAGGAAAGCCUGAUGGAGCAACACCGCGUGAUCGAUGAAGGCCUUAGGAGUGUAAAGCUCUUUUCUGAGGGAAGAAUUCUGACGGUACCUUAGGAAUAAGCACCGGCUAACUCCGUGCCAGCAGCCGCGGUAAUACGGAGGGUGCAAGCGUUAUCCGGAAUUAUUGGGCGUAAAGCGUCCGCAGGCGGUUUGUCAAGUGUGAUGUUAAAGCCUGCAGCUCAACUGCUGUGUUGUGUCUCAAACUGAUAAACUAGAGGCUUACAGAGGUACAUGGAAUUCUGCGU